This 445-nucleotide long non-coding RNA is filed under the name Medicago truncatula (barrel medic). RNAcentral's name for it is "long non-coding RNA (MTRU_LNC002415)". Lineage: Eukaryota; Viridiplantae; Streptophyta; Magnoliopsida; Fabales; Fabaceae. The record is from RNAcentral.
CGCCAUUUAUUGUUUUUUUUUUUUUUUUUAAUCGGAGCUCUUGUCCCCAAACCUUUUUUACGCACUCACCAUGAGUAUGCGGUGCAAGCUUAGAUGGCCGCCGAAUGGAAGCUUAUGAUACUGUUAAAAUUGUUGUCGCCGGAGAUUUGUAAUUAACAAUUUAUAUUUACUGUUUAUUUUCUUUCACUUUUAAUUUGAAUGAGGAGAAGAAAUGAUGAAUUUGGAUUUUUCUCAUUCUAUCUGCUGUGCAAUCUCUGCUUAUAAUUAGAAGAAACGAUGCUUCGACCUUGUUGUUUGUUUUUCUACCUCUCAUGCGGGUAAUCACUUAUCUGUUUGAGUGGAAACAACAACUUGUGGUUUAUGUUGGAUUCAAGUACCAGUACAAAGGAAAAUGUUAUUUUAGUGCAAGAGAAAAAAAUAUUAAAAGAUUGAAUGAGGUUGUGAG